AGGGGUGUGGCUUAGUGGUAGAGUGUUUACCUAGCAUGUAGAAGGCCCUGGGUUCAAGUCCAAGCAUCACUA
This 72-nucleotide transfer RNA is filed under the name Neotoma lepida (desert woodrat). It matches the Rfam family "tRNA". Rfam says of the family: Transfer RNA (tRNA) molecules are approximately 80 nucleotides in length. Their secondary structure includes four short double-helical elements and three loops (D, anti-codon, and T loops). Further hydrogen bonds mediate the characteristic L-shaped molecular structure. tRNAs have two regions of fundamental functional importance: the anti-codon, which is responsible for specific mRNA codon recognition, and the 3' end, to which the tRNAs corresponding amino acid is attached (by aminoacyl-tRNA synthetases). tRNAs cope with the degeneracy of the genetic code in two manners: having more than one tRNA (with a specific anti-codon) for a particular amino acid; and 'wobble' base-pairing, i.e. permitting non-standard base-pairing at the 3rd anti-codon position. Lineage: Eukaryota; Metazoa; Chordata; Mammalia; Rodentia; Cricetidae. The record is from Rfam by way of RNAcentral.